Molecule: long non-coding RNA, 275 nt
Organism: Triplophysa rosa
Lineage: Eukaryota; Metazoa; Chordata; Actinopteri; Cypriniformes; Nemacheilidae
Exons: 3
Source: RefSeq, a predicted model, not a curated record
CCUGCUUCCUGUUUCGUGCAUCGCUGCCGGCAGCUUCGAGUAUACUACGAUCCAUCGAGCAACCUUGGUUACCACAGCGAGCAGGAUGCAGUUCAUGGCCUGACCUGAUGGUAGAGUGGAGAAUGGGAAGUGGGGACCUGACAAGAGCUGAGAUGAUAGAGCUGGAUAAAGAAGGACGCGGUCUCUUGACAUGUCUUCACCACAAAACUUCAAAUGUUAUUAGAUUAUUAAUGAUAAUCUUAAACUACAAUUAAUCUGUUAUAUUUGACCUGUGC